UUCCGUAGGUGAACCUGCGGAAGGAUCAUUACCUUCUAGUUAUUUUGACUGGCUCGGGGGCCGGCUUUGCGAGGUCCCAAAAGGACCCCUGCCGCCCCGGCUGCAUCCUUGUCUAUUGCGUACUACAUGUUUCCUCGGUAGGCUUGCCUGCCGGUCGGACAACCAUUAAACUCUUUUGUAAUUGCAAUCAGCGUCUGAAAAUAAUUUAAUUAUUACAACUUUCAACAACGGAUCUCUUGGUUCUGGCAUCGAUGAAGAACGCAGCGAAAUGCGAUAAGUAGUGUGAAUUGCAGAAUUCAGUGAAUCAUCGAAUCUUUGAACGCACAUUGCGCCCCUUGGUAUUCCAUGGGGCAUGCCUGUUCGAGCGUCAUUUGUACCUUCAAGCUUUGCUUGGUGAUGGGUGUUUGUCCUGUCCUUUGUGACUGGACUCGCCUCAAAAUUAUUGGCAGCCGGCAUAUUGGCCUUUGGAGCGCAGCACAUUUUGCGAUCUAAGCCUCUAUACUGGUAUCCAUAAAGCCUCUUUAUCACUUUUGACCUCGGAUCAGGUAGGGAUACCCGCUGAAC
RNAcentral lists this ribosomal RNA (564 nucleotides) under Setophoma chromolaenae. Its description in RNAcentral is "eukaryotic LSU rRNA". The stretch from base 217 to 370 matches the Rfam family "5.8S ribosomal RNA". Lineage: Eukaryota; Fungi; Ascomycota; Dothideomycetes; Pleosporales; Phaeosphaeriaceae. The record is from RNAcentral.